Molecule: ribosomal RNA, 425 nt
Filed under: uncultured bacterium
Lineage: Bacteria
Description: bacterial SSU rRNA
Rfam family: Bacterial small subunit ribosomal RNA
Source: RNAcentral
AGGCAGCAGGUGGGGAAUAUUGCACAAUGGGCGAAAGCCUGAUGCAGCUAUGCCGCGUGUAUGAAGAAGGCCUUAGGGUUGUAAAGUACUUUCAUCGGGGAGGAAAAAACAAAACUAAUAAUUUUAUUUCUUGACGUUACCCGAAAAAGAAGCACCGGCUAACUCCGUGCCAGCAGCCGCGGUAAUACGGAGGGUGCUAGCGUUAAUCAGAAUUACUGGGCGUAAAGAGCACGUAGGUUGGUUUUUUUAAGUUCAGAUGUGAAAUCCCUGGGCUUAACCUAGGAACUGCAUUUUGAAACUGAAAUACUAGAGUAUCGUAGAGGGAGGUAGAAUUCUAGGUGUAGCGGUGAAAUGCGUAGAUAUCUGGAGGAAUACCUGUGGCGGAAAGACGGCCUCCUAAACGAAUACUGACACUGAGGGUGCGA